RNAcentral lists this transfer RNA (75 nucleotides) under Nitrososphaerota archaeon. Its description in RNAcentral is "tRNA-Pro". It matches the Rfam family "tRNA". Rfam says of the family: Transfer RNA (tRNA) molecules are approximately 80 nucleotides in length. Their secondary structure includes four short double-helical elements and three loops (D, anti-codon, and T loops). Further hydrogen bonds mediate the characteristic L-shaped molecular structure. tRNAs have two regions of fundamental functional importance: the anti-codon, which is responsible for specific mRNA codon recognition, and the 3' end, to which the tRNAs corresponding amino acid is attached (by aminoacyl-tRNA synthetases). tRNAs cope with the degeneracy of the genetic code in two manners: having more than one tRNA (with a specific anti-codon) for a particular amino acid; and 'wobble' base-pairing, i.e. permitting non-standard base-pairing at the 3rd anti-codon position. Lineage: Archaea; Thermoproteati; Nitrososphaerota. The record is from RNAcentral. RNAcentral also lists the same sequence under 3 other names.
GGGGCCGUGGUCUAGCAUGGCUAUGACGCCAGCCUGGGGCGCUGGAGGACGUGGGUUCAAAUCCCACCGGCCCCA